UCCUCCUGAGACCUGGUCUAUUUCUGAUGAAGACCCAGUUGAAUGUUCAGUGUAAAAAUAGGCCUGGGCUUCAGAUUCAGGUUUUGUGUUUUUUGACGUUGCUUUGACUCUUGGCUCUUUCUGUGACAGAGCCCAUUACCAAAGGUCCCUCAAAGGAUGAUGGGAAAGCUGUCAAACAGCCGCCCACAGAAGCCAAUGUGAGCACGUCCAUCCAGGUGGAUUCCACGGCCAGAGGUUCUGUCGCUGCCUGGGCCAUUUUACCAGUGUUGUUGUUGGCCAUGGCUGCUGCUGGUUCUUACCUGAUGUGGAGGAACUGGCAGCUGAAGAACCAGAAGAGCAUGAACUUCGACAACCCCGUCUACCUGAAAACCACAGAAGAAGACCUGAACAUCGACAUCACCCGGCACGGCGCCAACGUGGGACACACCUA
This is a long non-coding RNA of Sphaeramia orbicularis (orbiculate cardinalfish), 430 nucleotides long. RefSeq lists it as uncharacterized. The record is from RefSeq and is a predicted model, not a curated record. The transcript is spliced from 3 exons. Lineage: Eukaryota; Metazoa; Chordata; Actinopteri; Kurtiformes; Apogonidae.